Molecule: ribosomal RNA, 269 nt
Filed under: uncultured Thiobacillus sp.
Lineage: Bacteria; Pseudomonadati; Pseudomonadota; Betaproteobacteria; Nitrosomonadales; Thiobacillaceae
Description: partial 16S ribosomal RNA
Rfam family: Bacterial small subunit ribosomal RNA
Source: RNAcentral
CAUUAGUUGCUACGCAAGGGCACUCUAAUGAGACGUGCCGGUGGACAAACCGGAGGAAGGUGGGGAUGACGUCAAGUCCUCAUGGCCCUUAUGGGUAGGGCUUCACACGUCAUACAAUGGUCGGUACAGAGGGUUGCCAAGCCGCGAGGUGGAGCCAAUCCCAGAAAGCCGAUCGUAGUCCGGAUUGUUCUCUGCAACUCGAGAGCAUGAAGUCGGAAUCGCUAGUAAUCGCGGAUCAGCAUGUCGCGGUGAAUACGUUCCCGGGCCUU